Erinaceus europaeus (western European hedgehog) is the source of this 2627-nucleotide long non-coding RNA. RefSeq lists it as uncharacterized. Lineage: Eukaryota; Metazoa; Chordata; Mammalia; Eulipotyphla; Erinaceidae. The record is from RefSeq and is a predicted model, not a curated record. The transcript is spliced from 2 exons.
CACAGACCCAGGAUCUUUAUGGGGAGCAGAAGGUGGGAGGUCUGGCUUCUGUCAUUGCUUCUCCACUGGACAUGGGUGUUGGCAGCCUGUCUCUGUCUGUCCCUAGUGGGGCAGGACUCUGGGGAGGUGGGGGUGAGGUCUUCUGGCCCAGGGAGGUCAGGAUGGCAUCAUAGUAGCAUCUGCAACUUGGUGUCUAAAAGGCGGUAAGUCCUGAGGCAGGACAGAAUGUUUAAUAAAUAAGAAUCAGAAAGUAAGAAUAGAGCAGAUGAGAAUGGGAAUUUUAGGGUGGGAAGAAGCUAGGAAGUCUAUUUUAGGUAUGUUCCUUGGGGCCCAUGAUUUUAGUGAUUUUUGCCUGGGCUUGAUAGCUAACAGGCAGAUGGACUAAAAUCAUUGUCUGGGGAGAUGUAAGUCAGAGUUGAGAAUAGGACUAGAAAGCUGGAUUAGGGCAGAGAGUAGCUCCCAAACCUGAAGAAGAUCCACAAGUGCAGCUAACUGAGUAAAGCAAGGAUAUUUAUGUGUAAAUCCAAGGGGGAUAUUCUCCGAUAAGUGCAUAGCCCCUGGGCUCACCUUGGCCGUAUCUGUCUGCUCUCUGGGCUCAGAGUCGGUCUCACCUAUCUGUUAAUACAGGUCCAUUUCUAGUGAUUUGGGAGAUGUUAGUUUUUCUUUCUUUUUUACUUGUACUUCAUGGUAAGUUUCUUUUUAAUUGUCCAGUUUUAAAUGAUAUUUAAUGUAAUAGGAAUCAAAUACUAUUAGCUCAGAGCCAGCAAGACAGUUCAGCUGGGAGUGUACCUGCUUGAGCCUGGGCCCUACCACCUGGAGGAAGCUGCAGCCUGAUGACACAUCUCCUCUCUCCUGCCCCCAUGCUCUCUCUCUCAUCUACCUAGAAGAAGAAUAAACUGCCCCAACAGAGAAGCCACAACAAGAACAAAAGGAAUACUGUUUGGUUGGUUGGCUGUUUGUUUGUUUGUUUUGUUUUGUUUACCAGAGCUCUACUCAGCUCUGGCUAUGUUGGUACCAGGGAUUGAACCUGGGACUUUGGAGCCUCAGGCAUGAGAGUCUGUUUGCAUGACCAUUACGCUGUCUACCCCCACUGAAAAGAAUACUGCUAGCUCCAUAGAAACUGGCCGUUAGAACACAAACAUAUACACAAUUAUGGGCUUUUCUUUUUAUUAAAUAUUUUUAUUUAUUAUUGAAUAGAGACAGAGAGAAAUUGAGACAGGAGGGGAAGAUAGAGAGGGAGAGAGACUGAGAGACACCUGCAGCUCUGCUUCACCACUCAUGAAGCUUUCCCCCUAGAGGUGGGGACCAGGGACUUGAACCCGAGUCCUUGUGCCCUGUAGUGUGUGCACUUAACCAGGUGCACCACUGCCUGGCCCCUAAGCUUUUCUCUAAAGGACAGACAAGCUUCUAAAUAAGUGUGUAGAUAUUAUUGGCUAUCCUUGUCAAACUUCUUUAAAGGUGACUGUUGCAGCUGUCCCACAUCAUUCUUGUGAAUGAUUUCAGACUAAGAAUGUAUCAAAUGUUUUCGUUCUGUUUGCUAGGAAGGAAAAGAACUCACUCUAACAAGAUCACCACUGGAUACCUGCUUUGUCAUCUCACUAAGCCACCAUGUCAUCAGUACCACAGAAAGCACAUGGCAGCUGCUGAGUCAAGACUUUUGUGAGUCAACCUAGAUGAUGUAUAGAAAGAUGUUCUGUAAACAAGCAGAGCCUUGGUCAGUGUGAGGGAAAGGAAAUUGGCAUUUAUAGAACUCCUUUGAUGAGUAACUUGCUCUAUGUUGGCAAACACUGCCUCCAAUAAUUAUGUGAUUGCCCUAGGAGGUAGGUAUGGUUUUAUUAUUUUUACUUUUACUUACUGUCUCACUAAGGUGAGACUUUUUAAAUAGAGUGACAGGGAACUAACAGAGGGCCCCACGCAGGCAUGAUGUGUGAGCAGCCUCUCCCGCCUCACUUUAUUCUACACCAUUGGGGGGGGGGGUUACAUGGGGCUGUUUGGUUAUUCUGCUGAUUUUAGUGAUAUGUUUAUACAUUUCAGUUAUUAGUCUUUUGUCUGGUGUAUGUCCAAAGGAAACAAACACUCAUCCAAUGAGAUCUGUGUGCACCUGUGUUCACAGCAGCACAAUGUGUAACAGCCAAAACCUAAAAACAACCCAGGUGUCCAACAACAGAUGAGUGGCUGAGCAAGUUGUGGUCUAGAUACACAGUGGAAUACUACUCAGCUAUUAAAAAUGGUGACUUCACUUUCUUCACCUCAUCUUGGAUGGAGCUUGAAGGAACCACAUUAAAUAAGUCAGAAAGAGAAGCAUGAGUAUGGGAUGAUCCCACUGAUGGGGAGAACUAAGGAGACAAGGACAGAAAGGGGGAGACAGAGCAGAACUUGGACUGGAUUUGGUCUGUUGCACCAGAGCAAAGGACUCUGAGUAAAGAGGGCAGGGAGGAGAUUGGGAGGAGGACCAUUGGGGUCCUGGCCCCUGAGGGUGGAAAGAACCCAUGUUGGGGGUGAGUGUUUCUCAGCCACUUAGCACAGUGAAAUGAGAAAUUGUACCUAUGUGUCAAUAACUAGACUGUGACCAUUGCCCCCCAAAAAUAAAAUGAUAGAGAAAAAACUGUACUUUCAUUUAAUGAAAA